UAGAGUUUGAUCCUGGCUCACAAUCAACGCUGGCGGCAUGCCUAACACAUGCAAGUCGAGCGAGAAAGUGUAGCAAUACAUGAGUAAAGCGGCGCACGGGUGAGUAACACGUGGAUAACCUGCCUCAAAGUGGGGAAUAACACCGGGAAACCGGUGCUAAUACCGCAUAUUCUGACGAGAUCUGCGGAUUUUGUCAGAAAAGGAGCAAUUCGCUAUGAGAGGGGUCCGCGGCUGAUUAGCUAGUUGGUGAGGUAAUGGCUCACCAAGGCUUUGAUCAGUAGCCGGUCUGAGAGGACGGUCGGCCACACUGGAACUGAGACACGGUCCAGACUCCUACGGGAGGCAGCAGUGGGGAAUUUUUCGCAAUGGGGGCAACCCUGACGAAGCAAUGCCGCGUGGAUGAUGAAGUAUCUCGGUACGUAAAAUCCUUUCGACGGGGACGAAACCGCAAGGUUGACGGUACCCGUAGAAGAAGCCCCGGCUAACUCCGUGCCAGCAGCCCCGGUCAA
This 509-nucleotide ribosomal RNA is filed under the name uncultured bacterium. Its description in RNAcentral is "bacterial SSU rRNA". It matches the Rfam family "Bacterial small subunit ribosomal RNA", at positions 1 to 524 of the family's 1533-position model. The record is from RNAcentral.